RNAcentral lists this ribosomal RNA (780 nucleotides) under uncultured Acinetobacter sp. RNAcentral's name for it is "bacterial SSU rRNA". It matches the Rfam family "Bacterial small subunit ribosomal RNA", at positions 563 to 1342 of the family's 1533-position model. Lineage: Bacteria; Pseudomonadati; Pseudomonadota; Gammaproteobacteria; Moraxellales; Moraxellaceae. The record is from RNAcentral.
AAGCGUGCGUAGGCGGCUUCUUAAGUCGGAUGUGAAAUCCCUGAGCUUAACUUAGGAGUUGCAUUCGAUACUGGGAAGCUAGAGUAUGGGAGAGGAUGGUAGAAUUCCAGGUGUAGCGGUGAAAUGCGUAGAGAUCUGGAGGAAUACCGAUGGCGAAGGCAGCCAUCUGGCCUAAUACUGACGCUGAGGUACGAAAGCAUGGGGAGCAAACAGGAUUAGAUACCCUGGUAGUCCAUGCCGUAAACGAUGUCUACUAGCCGUUGGGGCCCUUGAGGCUUUAGUGGCGCAGCUAACGCGAUAAGUAGACCGCCUGGGGAGUACGGUCGCAAGACUAAAACUCAAAUGAAUUGACGGGGGCCCGCACAAGCGGUGGAGCAUGUGGUUUAAUUCGAUGCAACGCGAAGAACCUUACCUGGUCUUGACAUAGUAAGAACUUUCCAGAGAUGGAUUGGUGCCUUCGGGAACUUACAUACAGGUGCUGCAUGGCUGUCGUCAGCUCGUGUCGUGAGAUGUUGGGUUAAGUCCCGCAACGAGCGCAACCCUUUUCCUUAUUUGCCAGCGGGUUAAGCCGGGAACUUUAAGGAUACUGCCAGUGACAAACUGGAGGAAGGCGGGGACGACGUCAAGUCAUCAUGGCCCUUACGACCAGGGCUACACACGUGCUACAAUGGUCGGUACAAAGGGUUGCUACCUAGCGAUAGGAUGCUAAUCUCAAAAAGCCGAUCGUAGUCCGGAUUGGAGUCUGCAACUCGACUCCAUGAAGUCGGAAUCGCUAGUAAU